UGAGUAGUGCCUAGGAAUCUGCCUGAUUGUGGGGGACAACGUUUCGAAAGGAACGCUAAUACCGCAUACGUCCUACGGGAGAAAGCAGGGGACCUUCGGGCCUUGCGCUAUCAGAUGAGCCUAGGUCCGAUUAGCUAGUUGGUGGGGUAAUGGCUCACCAAGGCGACGAUCCGUAACUGGUCUGAGAGGAUGAUCAGUCACACUGGAACUGAGACACGGUCCAGACUCCUACAGGAGGCAGCAGUGGGGAAUAUUGGACAAUGGGCGAAAGCCUGAUCCAGCCAUGCCGCGUGUGUGAAGAAGGUCUUCGGAUUGUAAAGCACUUUAAGUUGGGAGGAAGGGCAGUAAGCGAAUACCUUGCUGUUUUGACGUUACCGACAGAAUAAGCACCGGCUAACUCUGUGCCAGCAGCCGC
Molecule: ribosomal RNA, 415 nt
Filed under: uncultured Pseudomonas sp.
Lineage: Bacteria; Pseudomonadati; Pseudomonadota; Gammaproteobacteria; Pseudomonadales; Pseudomonadaceae
Description: bacterial SSU rRNA
Rfam family: Bacterial small subunit ribosomal RNA
Source: RNAcentral